Molecule: long non-coding RNA, 1114 nt
Filed under: Olea europaea (common olive)
Lineage: Eukaryota; Viridiplantae; Streptophyta; Magnoliopsida; Lamiales; Oleaceae
Description: long non-coding RNA (OEUR_LNC011534)
Source: RNAcentral
UCAAAUCAGCUAUAGUUAUAUCAUCCUCGACAAUUGAAAGGAGCUUUGCUAGUGCACGAAAUGAGAAAUUCUACCUCAAAACACGGGAAAAAGAAGUAACAACAUAUAAAAAUUGCACAACAGGUAUGUAUCGAUUUUUUAAUUUUUUUGUACAUAUUUAUUGAUUAUUUUUGUGGCUUGCUACAACUAUAAUUUUAGAGCUAUUUCAUUUGGAAUUUUUGUUUAUUGGGAUUAACAUUUUAAUAUGUGAAUAGCUGGCUACCUUAGAAAUUGAAAACCAUGAUUUCGUUAAUUGCCUAUGGCUUUUAGUUAGGGAAUGUUUCUUGGUAUCCGAUCAAUGGGUGAUAUUUGAUUUCGGGGCUUCUUUAUCGUGAAUUAGAUGGCUCAAGAUUGUUGAUGUAAAUUGUUUCAUGGUCUACUGGUUAUUGCAAAUUUGGGAGUUGUUGUAAUGUGUGGUUUGCUUGCAUUAAGUGUAAGUAAUUUGUAUGGAUAGCUCAAGUUUUUUGGUUCCAUUGCAGCAUUGUUAUGUAUGUUUACCAUUGAAAUGUAAUUAGAAAUAUAAAUUUCAUGCCAAUUGACUUCCAAAAGAAGCGGUUUAAGUGCACUUUCUUUGGAUAUCUAAAGUUCUAGAGAGUAAUAAGGGAUACUUGACAAAUUAUUCAUUUUUCUGAAUUUUUUUUUUAAACCCUCCAUAAGAUAUUUAGUGAUGCUCGAAUAACUAUGAGAAAUUAGCGAUAGGUCUGUUCAAAUCUAAUCAAAAAUAAAAGUGGAUGUUUCUUGGUCGGUUGGUUCGGUAAAGCCAUUUUAGAAAGGCAUAGUACUAAAUUUCUAUCAAUUAUAUGUCUAUCUGGGUUUCUUGUUUUUAUUCUGUUAAUUAAUUCUGUAUGUUUGUAGGAGUGGUUUUCUCUUUUCUUGAAUUUUUUUUAUUGUAUUCAGGUUUAUGAGAUUUGUUAAUACGUCAGAAAUUCUCAAGAGAUCGAACAAAUUGAUAGUUCAAUUCAAUCAGAUGAACAAUCAAAUAUGGCAACAAAGGCUAGAAUACCAUUUUCUUUUCAAAUCUUACAACUGGGAGAAUGUUUCAAGAAGUGAAGUUCCAAUAUUUCUAAUUCUCUGU